Molecule: RNA transcript, 1552 nt
Organism: Aedes albopictus (Asian tiger mosquito)
Lineage: Eukaryota; Metazoa; Arthropoda; Insecta; Diptera; Culicidae
Gene: Pabp2
Gene name: polyadenylate-binding protein 2
Exons: 5
Source: RefSeq, a predicted model, not a curated record
CGAACCGAUGAAGUUUGCAAAAAGUCUGCCGAGUGAGAAGCUGCUUUCGUGGUCGGUGUGAAUUUUGAAUUCGGAUUAUUUCCCGUCAAUUAUUGCCGGUUCGGCUGCAAUUUAGUGUAAAACAACUGCUUUGUGCUCAGUAUUUCGUAAUUUGUUAAAAGGAAACAAUGGCCGAUGAAAAUCUCUUGAACGACUCCAACCUGGGAGCGCUGGGAUCGAAUGAUGAUGACUCCGAGCUGAUUCUUGAGGAGGACUAUCUGAAAGGUGCUGAUAUGCAAAUUGAUCCGGAACUGGAGGCAAUCAAGGCUCGUGUGAAAGAAAUGGAGGAAGAAGCGGAGAAGUUGAAGCAACUUCAAACGGAAGUUACCAAACAAAUGACGCUUGGGUCGCCCACCGGCGUCACCCCGAUUCUGACGGCAGAAGAAAAAGCCGAAAUUGAUAAUCGUUCCAUUUACGUCGGUAAUGUCGAUUACGGAGCGACAGCGGAAGAGCUAGAAGCCCAUUUCCAUGGCUGUGGCACCAUCAAUAGGGUAACCAUUCUGUGCAAUAAGGCGGACGGACAUCCGAAGGGUUUCGCCUACAUAGAGUUUGGCUCGAAGGAAUUUGUCGAAACGGCGCUGGCCAUGAAUGAAACUCUCUUCCGAGGGCGGCAAAUCAAAGUCAAUCCGAAACGAACGAACCGGCCGGGAAUGUGCACUACCAAUCGGUUCCCUCGGGGCUCCUCCGUCCGUGGGCGGGGAGCGCGCAUUUCGAGGGCAUGCUGCUACGGAGGACACCGAGGAUCACGAAGACCUGCUCGUGGAUAUCGAGGAAGAGCCACCUAUUACGCACCGUAUUAGGGGAAACGCUAAGUCCCAAUGCGGCCCCCGAUAUUCGCUGUAACACACACGCAAAUCCGACUCACAACACGUUUAGUUUUUAGGCAUCCCCUCGUAGGAUAAGAGAAACGAGACAGGACACUGGAAAGCACCAGUGGCAUCUAGGAUUAUUAUUAUUAUAUUUGGUUACGAAAAUCUUUUCAAAAAACAUUAUUUGUCUUCGAAUUUUCUCUAACAAUAAAAAACCUUCAAAUAAGGACACAUUGCACUGCUAUAAAGUUUCGUUCCUUUGCCAGAACGACUGGAUUUUUUCCACCAUAAGCCAUUGUCACAGUGUGACCAAUCUCGGAAAUAAUGUUUUUUGAAUUCGUUCAAAACAAUAAAAAGAAAAGGAAAUGAGAUGCCACAUAAAAAAAUCCAUUGGAGUAACUCAAAAAAGCCAACACAAAAAGAUGCGGAAUGAUGAAAAAAUAUAAAAAAGAUGGCAGAACACCAAAAGAUGGCAAAAAUAAAAGACGCAAAAAAGAUGGCAAAAGAUGAGUUGAAAUCCGCCACCAACAAACAAAAAAAUACCCAAGGCAAUGAGAAAAUAAGACAAAAGUUUCGAAAAAAAAAUGUUUGAAAAGAUACAACCGGAGAAAAGAGGACCUGGAGCCCACACAAUGAAAUUGAUGAAAUCAAGGAGCAACACAGCAAAAGAAAAAAAAAAUCGAGAUGACAACAGAAUAUGAAAA